This 1912-nucleotide long non-coding RNA is filed under the name Struthio camelus australis. Its description in RNAcentral is "lncRNA (ENSSCUG00000019055.1)". Lineage: Eukaryota; Metazoa; Chordata; Aves; Struthioniformes; Struthionidae. The record is from RNAcentral.
AAUUCGUAUUCAUAGGAAUCAGAAGUAAUACCGCACGGCCAAGUCAAAAGUUGGAGCAACUGGUGGAAGUCACUCCGCUGCGCCCCAGGCUCUGCACAGCAAGAGAGGGCGGUGGUGGAAGUUAAGCUCUUGAAUCGGUUAGGGCUUGUAAGAAAAUGGAUGGGUCUCCAGGAGCGCUCAGGCUGAGCAGCUGCCGUGCCUGAGACUUUGAGCAGUCGUCUGGGAAAGAGGCACGUGAAGAGGGCUAGAAAUCGGGAUGCACUGCCGAUUUACUGCACGGGAAGCAAGAAGAGGCCAUAGGAGAGGACUGGAAAGCUGGGAGACCUCACCCGGAAGGAGUUUCACGGAGAGGGCUAAGCAGCCUGGUAACCCAACGUGUACGGGGAAACUUCUGCCAGGCCACUGGAACGGGCUGGCCAUGGGCCUCAGCUAAAAAUGAGCCGGGAAAUCUCCUUGGGAGGAUUUGUGGCAUCUCAGAGGUGGUCCGAAGAGAAGGUCCCGAGUAUAUUAGCGACUGGAAUAGAAUUUGUUCUGCAGUAGUUUCCUGAGACGAGUAGAUGAAGUAACAGCAAUUCCAUUUCGGGCCGACCUGCACGGUCUGAGCUGGAGAAUGCAGCUUUCAGGUGAUGAGGUUAGAGAAGGAGGUGACUGAGACCGGAGGAACCACUUGGACUGUGAGAUCUCAGGACUGCAUCUUGUUUCCUGAACGCGAGCUCAAGUUUUGUGCAGAAUUGGUAAAGAUUCUAAAUCAUGUCAAGUCAUACUUCGAAAAAAGAAAAACGAUUUCUUUUUACCUCGGAAUCUGUUGCUGAAGGACAUUCUGGUAAGUCAAAAUCCUAACCAAGUCUUUCUUUUUAUUAAGAACUUGUACUGAAGAAUGCUGUAUGACAAAAGUUAAGUGAUUUCUACCCUAAUGGAGAAAAGGAAGGGGCCAUCAAUUAUUUUGGUUAGACCUCAGAUUAAUUUCUUUGUGCACUUUAAAAGAAUUUAUUUACUUAGUAUGCAAUAUAAUCAGGGAUCAUAUUUCAAUUUUAAACUUUUACUUGAGAAGAAGAAGCAUGGGGAGGUGCUCUACAGGUAGACUUGGAGUUUCUGCAUAUGCUGGACAUUGAUUUCCUUUGUAAUUCUGUAAUGAAAAAAACGAUGGCCAUGUCUGUAAUAGGUGAUCAUUAAUUCUGAGCCGCUGAAAUGUUUGGAAUAUUAAGCAUUAAUUUUCAUCAGAGCUGCCUUACAGGUUAUGCUGUAAUAUUAAAUGUGUCUCUUUUGCCAUGUUGCUCACCUUAAGACAAGUUCAUAUAUGCUUCAGCCUGUACAAAAUCCAUAUACUUUCUAGGUCUGGGAAUGAAGGACAGUGUCUCAGCUCUACCUGCUGCUCAUUAAAAGCAGCUUUUUUCACACAGAUUUUUUAGAUAAAUACCUAUCUACAAGCUUUGUUAACUGAUGGAUGUGAGGAAGUUUGGACCUCCAGAAGGGAUCCUAUGUCUGAAAUUUGCUAUAGAGAUAGCAACAGGUCCUAUUGUUAUAACCUUUAAAUGACAUAUAUUUUAAUGUUAAGACUAAAAAUAACAUUGACUGUCUCCUUUUCUGAAACGGAAUGAAAGACAAAAAGCCUAAUAGUGGGGAAAUCAGGGUGAUGCCACACACUGAAGGUUUGCAGCUGCACUUUUUUUCUGUGCAUUUAUCUUCUCAGUGUUCCUAUUCAUUAGGUGAGACUGGCAUAGUUUGAGACAAAUUACAUUACUGUCAGGUCUGUCUGCCCAGCCCCUCAUAAGCAGUGCAACAGCUGCAAAACCACCGCAGCAUGUAGCGUUGUAUCUUGAACUGCCACCAACACUUGUUUGCUUUAUAACACUGUGCUGUAUGUUGCAAUGGGGCAAAUAGCUGAAGGUAAUAAAACCUAUCAGUUGUUCCA